AAUAGAUACCCGGGUAGUCCACGCCGUAAACGUUGGGCGCUAGAUGUGGGGGGCCAUUCCACGGUUUCCGCGUCGUAGCUAACGCAUUAAGCGCCCCGCCUGGGGAGUACGGCCGCAAGGCUAAAACUCAAAGGAAUUGACGGGGGGCCCGCACAAGCGGCGGAGCAUGCGGAUUAAUUCGAUGCAACGCGAAGAACCUUACCAAGGCUUGACAUAUACGAGAACACUGCAGAAAUGUAGGACUCUUUGGACACUCGUAUACAGGUGGUGCAUGGUUGUCGUCAGCUCGUGUCGUGAGAUGUUGGGUUAAGUCCCGCAACGAGCGCAACCCUCGUCGCAUGUUGCCAGCACGUAAAGGUGGGAACUCAUGUGAGACUGCCGGGGUCAACUCGGAGGAAGGUGGGGAUGACGUCAAAUCAUCAUGCCCCUUAUGUCUUGGGCUUCACGCAUGCUACAAUGGCCGGUACAAAGGGCUGCAAUACCGUAAGGUGGAGCGAAUCCAAAAGCCGGUCUCAGUUCGGA
RNAcentral lists this ribosomal RNA (522 nucleotides) under uncultured bacterium. Its description in RNAcentral is "bacterial SSU rRNA". It matches the Rfam family "Bacterial small subunit ribosomal RNA", at positions 777 to 1297 of the family's 1533-position model. The record is from RNAcentral.